This 205-nucleotide long non-coding RNA is filed under the name Homo sapiens (human). RNAcentral describes it as "HSALNT0198213". Lineage: Eukaryota; Metazoa; Chordata; Mammalia; Primates; Hominidae. The record is from RNAcentral.
GAUUCAGUUACCUACUGUCAACCAAGGUCAGAAAAUAGGUGGAGAAAUCUGGAGAAGUCUGGCUGGGAAGGGAAGAAGAAGCAGGAAAACAGGGCUAAGCCAAGACGUGCAGCUGGAGCAGAAGGAGUCAGAACGGGCUGGCAGAGAGCGCUGAGCUCCCAGCAGGGGAAGAAACCAAAGAACAUGGAGGCUCCUGCGACGAGAG